GUAUAGUUUCAAAUGCAACGAUUGAUAAAAAAGUAAUCAAAUUAACUAAAUAUUGUAUUUAGAGGUUGUUUGGUUUGGUGUAAAUAGAGAGGUAAAAGUUCCAUCACUGUUGGUGUUUAUUUUAUUGUAAGUCAAAAAAAUAAUGCAACUCAAGUUACGUUAAGUGUAUAUUUAUUUCACCGAAACUGGACUUUGGGUUGAAGCGAACUUUGGGUUGAAGUGGAGUUUAGUGAAAAUUAUUUCUUUUCCGCUGUUUGUUUCGUAGCUAUGGAAGUGAAGUUCUAUUAGUUCUGCUGUCUGUUUAGUAGGAAGGAUAUGAUGUAAAAGUAUAAUUUAUAUAUAAAUAAUAAAUAUUUUAAUAAAUAAAAAUAAUAUAAGUAUAUUUUUAUAUAAUUAAAAUUUAAUUUAAAACAACUAAAUAAUUUUUUUAUACAUAAAUUAUAGUAAUACAAUAAUAAAAUUAUAAAGUAAAAAAAUUAUUAAUACUUAAUUAAUCAAUUUUUAUCAUAUUUUAAAUGUACAAACUAAAUAAAGAAAAUAUUAAAACUUAACUAAUCAAUUUUUAUCAUAUUUUAGAUAUAUUAACUGAAUAAAAAAAAUUAGUAACAUGAUUAUGUAUAUUUAAAUAUAACCAUCUUUAUCUAUUAUAUUAUUUUAUUAUUUUUUCUUUAUCUUUUUUCACCGUAAUUGACUUCGGCCCACGAUGGGGCGAAGUCAAUUAUACCGUUUAAGGUUAACUCGAGUUUCGACUGUAACUUUUUUACGGCGAGCCAAACAACGAAAGUGACCGUUUAGGAUGAAAACGAUUUCCCUCCUCUCCACUUCCACCCCACUUCUACCCAAACAAACAUGCCCCAUCCACUUCACCAACUUUUGAUUUCUCCCUCUAGAGUACAAAACUCGAUCAAGUUCCAUCACAAUCACUCUCUAAAAAAUUUAUUAAAUAUUAAAGCCUAAACUCUACUUCCUUUAGAGAGGAUUAGAGUUACUUUCUUUUAUAAUGGGUUAAGAUUACUUCUAAAUAAUAAUGAGUAAUUCAAUUAUUUAAUAGUUUGGAUUUUAUAGAGAUGAGUUUAUCACUAUAUUUAAAAGGCAACGAUAUCCACUUACUUACAUCAAAAUAAAUAAUGAGACUUAAAAAAUUAAUUUUAUCAGCAUUAAAUUACAUCAAAAUAAAUAAAAAAAUAAUUAAAUUUAACUUUCAGACCAUACGAGUUACAUUAAAAUAAACAACAAAAAAAUAACCACACUUCAGAAAAAUGUAAAUACUACUGCACUUGAGUUACGGAGGAUCUAAAAAUUUGUCAAUUUAAACACUUUCUU
Molecule: long non-coding RNA, 1323 nt
Filed under: Ananas comosus (pineapple)
Lineage: Eukaryota; Viridiplantae; Streptophyta; Magnoliopsida; Poales; Bromeliaceae
Description: long non-coding RNA (ACOM_LNC000429)
Source: RNAcentral